Cyprinus carpio (common carp) is the source of this 990-nucleotide long non-coding RNA. RefSeq lists it as uncharacterized. NCBI's taxonomy places the organism in Eukaryota, Metazoa, Chordata, Actinopteri, Cypriniformes, Cyprinidae. The record is from RefSeq and is a predicted model, not a curated record. The transcript has 4 exons.
ACUGAGCUGAACUUAUGUGGAGAACGAUAAAAAUACAGUUUGUAUUAUUGUAUUAUUUGAGCCCAGAGCUGCGUUAGAGACCGUUUAAACAGAGUGCGAGAGUUCAACGGAUCACUGAGGAUUCAGAACGGCGGGAAUUUAAUAAAAAAAGGGACUUCUUUAAACCUGACAGCGUGAAGACAUCCGUCAGAAUAUACAUCGAUGAAAAAUUAGGAAAAAAACAAGAUUACUACUCGAACUGUCUCUUUUCUGCAUGUUAUAAGGGAAACGAAGGAGCACCAGAUGAGCAGCUCCCUCAGAGUUCUUCUGGAGCGCGUAACUCAACGUUAUAUUUGAUAUCGCUGACAUGAGCUUGGUUCAGAUGAAGUUCUGAAGAUCAGCGCAGAAUUCAGUAAUCUUGUGGAUGGACCGCAGCGAGUCCUUUUCCAGUUGUAUCCAUCAAAAUGCUUUGCAGACAUAAUGGAAAUGACAUUCACAUUGUAGAGUUUGGACAAAGUUCACACAGGCUCGGAGCAGGGAUUCAUCAAGGACAUGUCUGUUGGGAUUACGCUUGUGGAUGACCAAACUGAGCACCAGCGAUCUGCAGUGAUGUGGUCCAGCCAUCCGGUGAAAUUAGGGAUGUUGAGAAAGAAAUUGACGAGGGCAUUCUGAUUAUAACUGAGGAGCAGCAAUGUGAUGUGCUUCCCAAGGAAUAACCAACAUUGCUCUCAUUUGGACAUCCUGUCAUCACUGACAUCUCCCAUGUCCCCAAGGUGUUUGGACUCCUAAUGGGUCUGUAUGCAGUGAACAUCCACUACCUCAAGCUCAUGAAAUACACCAUUGAGGCUCUGCAAAAACUUGUGAAGAACAUCUGCUCCCACCAUGUGCUCGCUACAGCGGCAGGAAUUGUAGGUGUGGGGGAGUGAAUGUACAGCGCUCUCUCCCUCCUUCAAUACCACGACUGAGGUGCCCUUGAGCAAGGCACCGUACCCCAACUGCUCCCCGGGCACC